UGGGGAAUAUUGCACAAUGGGCGGAAGCCUGAUGCAGCAACGCCGCGUGCGGGAUGACGGCCUUCGGGUUGUAAACCGCUUUCGCCUGUGACGAAGCGUGAGUGACGGUAAUGGGUAAAGAAGCACCGGCUAACUACGUGCCAGCAGCCGCGGUGAUACGUAGGGUGCGAGCGUUGUCCGGAUUUAUUGGGCGUAAAGGGCUCGUAGGUGGUUGAUCGCGUCGGAAGUGUAAUCUUGGGGCUUAACCCUGAGCGUGCUUUCGAUACGGGUUGACUUGAGGAAGGUAGGGGAGAAUGGAAUUCCUGGUGGAGCGGUGGAAUGCGCAGAUAUCAGGAGGAACACCAGUGGCGAAGGCGGUUCUCUGGGCCUUUCCUGACGCUGAGGAGCGAAAGCGUGGGGAGCGAACAGGCUUAGAUACCCUGGUA
This 425-nucleotide ribosomal RNA is filed under the name uncultured bacterium. RNAcentral's name for it is "bacterial SSU rRNA". It matches the Rfam family "Bacterial small subunit ribosomal RNA", at positions 355 to 792 of the family's 1533-position model. The record is from RNAcentral.